Molecule: long non-coding RNA, 2219 nt
Filed under: Salmo salar (Atlantic salmon)
Lineage: Eukaryota; Metazoa; Chordata; Actinopteri; Salmoniformes; Salmonidae
Description: lncRNA (ENSSSAG00000105277.1)
Source: RNAcentral
CUCCAUCUCUAACCCCUCCCCCAUCUCUAACUCCACCCUCCAUCUCUAACCCCGCCCCCCAUCUCUAAACCCCGCCCUCCAUCUCUAACCCCUCCCCUGUACCAUGUCACCCUUAGUGGGCCACCAGCAGUUUGCAUGUAAAUGAUGAUCAGAAAAUAGAUCCGUAAAACAUGUUAUUUAUCAGUAGAGAGGAGCUUCCUGUUUCGAUCUCACUAUGGGAACAGAAGAGACUUUUUUGAUUGGAUGAUGAGACAACAUUUGUUUACUAGGGAAGUUAAACAGCCUGGCGUCCGUCUGACUGACCCCCCCCCCCCAGGUCAACUAGUUUGACCCCUGAACUUUAGGCGUCUCCAGCUAUAGAAUCUCCUGUCUUAUUUAUAAUUGAUUUAGAGACGGGUGCUUUUCUCUAUUACCACAGUAGUCAAUACGAUUUGGUAGAAAAUAUUUAUAAUAUUUGAAGAGUUUUGGACAGAUGAAUUUGGAUCCUCAGAUAUUUGUGUGUGUUUUUUUUUAAUGAGGAAUCGUUUUUUGGACUAUUUGCAUGUUGCUGAGAAAAAUAUAUAUAUUUAAAAAUAUAUUUAAAAAUAUAUUUAAAAAAUGUUUUUUUUUUUUUUUUACAUUCUUUUGAUAAAUUAAAAUUUCCAGAUGUUUCCGAUGUUUGUAGACUGUCUAACUAAAUGUACCGGGCUCAGUUUGGUUUGUACGAGGGCUGUAAUACCGAUUUAAACAUGAUUUAUUAUUGUCCGAUAUAAAAUGUGCUGGUUGGCUAGGUGUGUAUCUACUGAGACCGUUGGUCCGAUACUGUCCAAGCUGUCACAGAGAGGGGAACCAUGGAAACAGGUUCUGGGUGCUGUUUAUCUCAGAAUACCCAGGAGUCAGAUGUUGAGCGCUUGACUUUCCUCCCGUUGCUCCCCACCUGAUCAAUCCACUCGUUACCAAAGCCUACAAGUUAUUUCCAGAGAACCUGAUGUAUAUUAUAACUCAGUAUGAACCCUAAUAAAGCUUUAUACCUGAUGGAUGAUGAUGAUGAUGGAUCUCUGGCAUUGAGGUGAAUCUGUUGCUCCGAUCUGAUAAAAGACUCAUUAUAAAAGAGACUGAGUGUUUUUAAAAACCGCACCAGCAUGCUUCAGGACGUUCUAGAAUCAGGCUUCAGGAAGUUCUAGAACAAGGUUUGAGGAUGUUGUAGAACCAGGCUUCAGGACGUUCUAGAAUCAGGCUUCAGGAAGUUCUAGAACCAGGCUUCAGGAAGUUCUAGAACAAGGUUUGAGGAUGUUGUAGAACCAGGCUUCAGGACGUUCUAGAACCAGGUUUGAGGAUGUUGUAGAACCAGGCUUCAGGAUGAUCUAGAACUAGGCUUAAGGAAGUUCUAGAACCAGGCUUCAGGACGUUAUAGAACCAGGUUUGAGGAUGUUGUAGAACCAGGCUUCAGGAUGAUCUAGAACCAGGCUAAAGGAUGUUCUAGAACCAGGCUUGAGGAUGUUGUAGAACCAGGCUUCAGGAUGUUGUAGAACCAGGCUUCAGGACGUUGUAGAACCAGGCUUCAGGACGUUGUAGAACCGGGCUUCAGGACGUUGUAGAACCAGGCUUUAGGACGUUCUAGAACCAGGCUUCAGGAAGUUCUACAACCAGGCUUCAGGACGUUAUAGAACCAGGCUUCAGGAUGUUCUAGAACCAGGCUAAAGGAUGUUCUAGAACCAGGCUUGAGGAUGUUGUAGAACCAGGCUUCAGGAUGUUCUAGAACCAGACUUCAGGAUGUUGUAGAACCAGGCUUCAGGACGUUCUAGAACCAGGCUUCAGGAUGUUGUAGAACCAGGCUUCAGGACGUUCUAGAACCAGGCUUCAGGAUGUUCUAGAACCAGGCUUCAGGAAGUUCUAGAACCAGGCUUCAGGAAGUUCUAGAACCAGGCUUCAGGACGUUCUAGAACCAGGCUUCAGGACGUUUAAGCUGUGAUGGAACCUGACCUUCAAUCUAUCAGAAACCUUGUCGUUUUAACUCUUGAGAGACUGGAGGAAGAGGAGGAGGAGGAGGAAGAGGAGGAAGAGAAGGGUGUGUUUUCUAGCUGUCAAUAGACAAGCUAACUGUCUGCAAUAAUUUCCCUCUGAUGCUCCCAGAACUGAGAGAGAGGGUUUCCAAGGCUGGUAUACAACUGUACUUUUGACAUUGUUUUUUAAUUGCUGAUUAUUAUAAUGAUCAAACAUUAUCCUGAAGGAUGUUCCCC